This 72-nucleotide transfer RNA is filed under the name Salmo salar (Atlantic salmon). It matches the Rfam family "tRNA". From Rfam's summary of the family: Transfer RNA (tRNA) molecules are approximately 80 nucleotides in length. Lineage: Eukaryota; Metazoa; Chordata; Actinopteri; Salmoniformes; Salmonidae. The record is from Rfam by way of RNAcentral.
UCCUGUGUAGCUCAGUUAGUAGAGCAUGGUGCUUGCAACGCUAGAGUUGUGGGUUCCAUUUCCACGCGGGAC